This 244-nucleotide unclassified non-coding RNA is filed under the name Hevea brasiliensis (rubber tree). The record is from RNAcentral. Lineage: Eukaryota; Viridiplantae; Streptophyta; Magnoliopsida; Malpighiales; Euphorbiaceae.
UUCAUCUACCUCCAACAAUCCCAGAUUCGUUCAAUUUGAAAUCUGCGCAUUUUCACAGGUUACAUAGGUGGAAAAGGAGAAGAGAUGGAUCCAGAUUCAGUUAAAUCGACUCUCUCUAAUUUGGCAUUUGGAAAUGUAAUGGCUGCUGCUGCUCGUGAUUACCAGAAGGAAGUGCUGGCUCAAGAAAAAGCGCAAGCAUCAUCUUCUGUUAAUGAAGACAUAGAUCUUGAUGAACUGAUGGAUG